Molecule: long non-coding RNA, 255 nt
Filed under: Physcomitrium patens
Lineage: Eukaryota; Viridiplantae; Streptophyta; Bryopsida; Funariales; Funariaceae
Description: long non-coding RNA (PPAT_LNC011561)
Source: RNAcentral
UGUGAUUUUGGUACCUAUUAUUACUCUUUUAAGCAUAUAGAGGUUUAUAAAAAAGCUUUGAAGAAUCAAAAAGUGAAUUUCAAAAGAAAACUUAAAGAACUAAAUUUUGUAUAAAAAGUCAAUAUAUUUCAAUCUAGAUUAAAGGAAAAAGAACUAUUCGAAGUUAGUACCUAAAACUAGGAUUUGUAAGUGAGUUGUUUUUAAUAGAGGUUUUAAUUUUUGCCAUAUCUUGAGUUUUUAGACGAAUUUUUGGUU